GAAACAGUAGUGUAAUGGUAGCACACAGCCAUUUUUGAGCAUUUUAAUUAUCUUUUAAAAGGUCAAAAAAGGCUUACUUCAAAGUGGGGAGGCUGUAGUGAGGGUUCGAUUCCUUCUUGUUUCU
Molecule: transfer RNA, 124 nt
Filed under: bacterium 336/3
Lineage: Bacteria; Pseudomonadati
Rfam family: tRNA
About the family: Transfer RNA (tRNA) molecules are approximately 80 nucleotides in length. Their secondary structure includes four short double-helical elements and three loops (D, anti-codon, and T loops).
Source: Rfam by way of RNAcentral